RNAcentral lists this ribosomal RNA (585 nucleotides) under uncultured bacterium. Its description in RNAcentral is "bacterial SSU rRNA". It matches the Rfam family "Bacterial small subunit ribosomal RNA", at positions 338 to 916 of the family's 1533-position model. The record is from RNAcentral.
CCUACGGGAGGCAGCAGUGGGGAAUUUUGGACAAUGGGCGAAAGCCUGAUCCAGCAAUGCCGCGUGAGUGAAGAAGGCCUUCGGGUUGUAAAGCUCUUUUGUCAGGGAAGAAACGGUGAAAGCUAAUAUCUUUUGCUAAUGACGGUACCUGAAGAAUAAGCACCGGCUAACUACGUGCCAGCAGCCGCGGUAAUACGUAGGGUGCAAGCGUUAAUCGGAAUUACUGGGCGUAAAGCGUGCGCAGGCGGUUUUGUAAGUCUGAUGUGAAAUCCCCGGGCUCAACCUGGGAAUUGCAUUGGAGACUGCAAGGCUAGAAUCUGGCAGAGGGGGGUAGAAUUCCACGUGUAGCAGUGAAAUGCGUAGAUAUGUGGAGGAACACCGAUGGCGAAGGCAGCCCCCUGGGUCAAGAUUGACGCUCAUGCACGAAAGCGUGGGGAGCAAACAGGAUUAGAUACCCUGGUAGUCCACGCCCUAAACGAUGUCUACUAGUUGUCGGGUCUUAAUUGACUUGGUAACGCAGCUAACGCGUGAAGUAGACCGCCUGGGGAGUACGGUCGCAAGAUUAAAACUUAAAGGAAUUGACGG